This 77-nucleotide transfer RNA is filed under the name Phialocephala subalpina. The stretch from base 6 to 73 matches the Rfam family "tRNA", at positions 7 to 64 of the family's 71-position model. Rfam says of the family: Transfer RNA (tRNA) molecules are approximately 80 nucleotides in length. Their secondary structure includes four short double-helical elements and three loops (D, anti-codon, and T loops). The record is from RNAcentral. Lineage: Eukaryota; Fungi; Ascomycota; Leotiomycetes; Helotiales; Mollisiaceae.
GCCAGUUGGCGGAGUGGUUAACGCGAUGCCCUGCUAAGGCAUUUCCUUCGGGAGCGUGUGUUCGAAUCACACAGGUG